RNAcentral lists this ribosomal RNA (484 nucleotides) under uncultured bacterium. RNAcentral's name for it is "partial 16S ribosomal RNA". It matches the Rfam family "Bacterial small subunit ribosomal RNA", at positions 28 to 523 of the family's 1533-position model. The record is from RNAcentral.
GACGAACGCUGGCGGCGUGCUUAACACAUGCAAGUCGAACGAUGAAGCUGGAGCUUGCUCCGGUGGAUUAGUGGCGAACGGGUGAGUAACACGCGAGAAAUCUGCCCUUGACUUUGGGAUAACUGCGGGAAACUGUAGCUAAUACCGGAUAUUUUCCUUGGUGGGCAUCCACUGGGGAAGAAAGAAUUUCGGUCAAGGAUGAUCUCGCGGCCUAUCAGCUAGUUGGUGGGGUAAUGGCUCACCAAGGCGACGACGGGUAGCCGGCCUGAGAGGGUGACCGGCCACACUGGGACUGAGACACGGCCCAGACUCCUACGGGAGGCAGCAGUGGGGAAUAUUGCACAAUGGGCGCAAGCCUGAUGCAGCAACGCCGCGUGAGGGAUGAAGGCCUUCGGGUUGUAGACCUCUUUUAGCAGGGAAGAAGCGAAAGUGACGGUACCUGCAGAAAAAGCACCGGCUAACUACGUGCCAGCAGCCGCCGUAA